UACGUAGGGCGCAAGCGUUGUCCGGAAUUAUUGGGCGUAAAGAGCUCGUAGGCGGCUUGUUGCGUCGGAUGUGAAAGCCCGGGGCUUAACCCCGGGUCUGCAUUCGAUACGGGCAGGCUAGAGUUCGGUAGGGGAGAUCGGAAUUCCUGGUGUAGCGGUGAAAUGCGCAGAUAUCAGGAGGAACACCGGUGGCGAAGGCGGAUCUCUGGGCCGAUACUGACGCUGAGGUGCGAAAGCGUGGGGAGCGAACAGG
Molecule: ribosomal RNA, 253 nt
Filed under: uncultured bacterium
Lineage: Bacteria
Description: partial 16S ribosomal RNA
Rfam family: Bacterial small subunit ribosomal RNA
Source: RNAcentral